CCUCCUUAUAACGAAGUUACACUUACAGAGUGUUCACACAAAUAAUUAAUUACGAAGUUUUAAGAGAGCUCUAACCCAUGCGCACAGUAUGUGCUCAUCAGUUAGGGUUUUUAACCCGGACGUGUAAACGUCAUGCUCUUUAACAAUUUGGAAAGCUGAUAAAAUAAGGUAAACAUUAUUGUUUAUUUAAUUUGUUAUUCAACAAUUUAAAAAAAUAAUUUUGAUUAUCACUGUAAGAGAAAACUCAAGCGUUAUUUAUGUCAAAACGAACAUGCCUAUACAACAUGUCUCGUUAAUAAAUAUGACACAAGAUGAUGCAAUCGAGAAUGUGAGAACAUUUAAGGUUGUAUGGUUAAGUGAAUAAGCGUAUACGGUGG
RNAcentral lists this unclassified non-coding RNA (377 nucleotides) under uncultured Gammaproteobacteria bacterium. RNAcentral describes it as "partial 16S-23S ribosomal RNA intergenic spacer". The record is from RNAcentral. Lineage: Bacteria; Pseudomonadati; Pseudomonadota; Gammaproteobacteria.